CUAAGGUCAUGAUUUGUAGUCUGGUUCUUCGUGAUGAUGCCACAGGACAUAGCCCAGAAUAUUCAGCUUUGUAAAGAUGGCAGCCUCCUGUCCACACUACUCCAUUUCACUGGUCAGGGCUCUGAGGCUCUGGGACACAGCCUUGACUGGGUCAACUGCCAUGGAGCCAUGAAAUUCCAACAUAAAAGAAUUAGCCUUGCAAAAACCUCUUCUAUUUUACCUCAUAUAUUGUUCAACUCAUAACACUGGGAUAUCUUAGCCUACAGUGAGAACUCAUUUUUAUCUAAUACACAUAAUUAGGCCAAAUCAAUGGAUUACAGAUUAAACAAGCAGGGAAUUUAACUAUGACUGGAAGAACAUUAUGGAUCAGAAGUCCUAAUAAUAUAUGGCCAUCAUUUUAAAAUGCUGGUUAUUUAUUGAAAAUUUUAUCUUGAAGUGGCCUGCAAGAAACUAGCAGCUUUUAAGUUCUUACUAAUUUACUUCACUUGACAACAAAUAUUUAUUUACAUUAAUUUCACAUUUGGUCACAUAUUGAAUGGUUACUGAGCCCUGAGUUUUGCUUGUUUUAAAAUAAAACUGUUAGGUCCUUUGCUUGUUGUUAAAUA
RNAcentral lists this long non-coding RNA (605 nucleotides) under Cyanistes caeruleus (blue tit). RNAcentral's name for it is "lncRNA (ENSCCEG00000015708.1)". Lineage: Eukaryota; Metazoa; Chordata; Aves; Passeriformes; Paridae. The record is from RNAcentral.